CAGAUGUGUUUAAAAAAAGACUGGAUGUGGCACUUGGUGCCACAUGGUUUAGUGAGGUGUUAGGGCUUGGGUUGGACUUAGUGAUCUUAAAGGUCUCUUCCAACCCAGUCAUUCUGUAAAUUCUGUGAACAGCA
Sturnus vulgaris (Common starling) is the source of this 134-nucleotide non-coding RNA. Lineage: Eukaryota; Metazoa; Chordata; Aves; Passeriformes; Sturnidae. The record is from RefSeq and is a predicted model, not a curated record.